UACGGAAGGCAGCAGGGGGAAUAUUGCACAAUGGGCGCAAGCCUGAUGCAGCCAUGCCGCGUGUAUGAAAAAGGCCUUCGGGUUGUAAAGUACUUUCAGUCGUGAGGAAGGUGUUAAGGUUAAUAACCUUAGCAAUUGACGUUAGCGACAGAAGAAGCACCGGCUAACUCCGUGCCAGCAGCCGCGGUAAUACGGAGGGUGCGAGCGUUAAUCGGAAUUACUGGGCGUAAAGGGCACGCAGGCGGUUAAUUAAGUUGGAUGUGAAAUCCCCGGGCUUAACCUGGGAAUGGCAUUCAAGACUGGUUAGCUAGAGUCUUGUAGAGGGGGUAGAAUUCCAUGUGUAGCGGUGAAAUGCGUAGAGAUGUGGAGGAAUACCGGUGGCGAAGGCGGCCCCUGGACAAAGACUGACGCUCAUGUGCGAAAGCGUGGGGAGCAAACGAGGGAUUAGAUACC
RNAcentral lists this ribosomal RNA (453 nucleotides) under uncultured bacterium. Its description in RNAcentral is "bacterial SSU rRNA". It matches the Rfam family "Bacterial small subunit ribosomal RNA", at positions 340 to 786 of the family's 1533-position model. The record is from RNAcentral.